Molecule: ribosomal RNA, 640 nt
Filed under: Russula amethystina
Lineage: Eukaryota; Fungi; Basidiomycota; Agaricomycetes; Russulales; Russulaceae
Description: eukaryotic LSU rRNA
Rfam family: 5.8S ribosomal RNA (bases 168-321)
Source: RNAcentral
CUGUCGCUAGCCUUUGAAAGGUUGUGCACGCCCGAGUGCCCUCACACAUCCAUCUCACCCCUUUGUGCAUCACCGCGUGGGUCUCCUUUUGCAAAAGGAGCUCACGUUUUCACACAAAACUUGAUACAGUGUAGAAUGUUAUCUUUGCGGUCACACGCAAUCAAUACAACUUUCAACAACGGAUCUCUUGGCUCUCGCAUCGAUGAAGAACGCAGCGAAAUGCGAUACGUAAUGUGAAUUGCAGAAUUCAGUGAAUCAUCGAAUCUUUGAACGCACCUUGCGCCCCUUGGCAUUCCGAGGGGCACACCCGUUUGAGUGUCGUGAAAUCCUCAAAAUCCUUUUUGGGCUUACCGAAAAGGAUUUUUGGACUUGGAGGUUUAAUGCUUGCCUUUCACUUGUGAAAGUGAGCUCCUCUCAAAUGAAUUAGUGGGGUCUGCUUUGCCCGAUCCUUGACGUGAUAAGAUGUUUCUACGUUUUGGAUUUUGGCACUGUACUUUGGAUGCCUGCUUCUAACUGUCUCAUGGACAAUGGAUGGUGCUCUGGUCCCCUGCCUUCUAACGUUGGUGGGAGGCUGGACCCACGGAUGAAAACCUUGACCUCAAAUCGGGUGAGACUACCCGCUGAACUUAAGCAUAUCAAA